Molecule: unclassified non-coding RNA, 312 nt
Filed under: plant metagenome
Description: partial contains 5.8S ribosomal RNA, internal transcribed spacer 2, and large subunit ribosomal RNA
Rfam family: 5.8S ribosomal RNA (bases 1-104)
Source: RNAcentral
AAAUGCGAUACGUAGUGUGAAUUGCAGAAUUCAGUGAAUCAUCGAAUCUUUGAACGCACAUUGCGCCCUUUGGUAUUCCAAAGGGCAUGCCUGUUCGAGCGUCAUUUGUACCCUCAAGCUUUGCUUGGUGUUGGGCGUCUUUUGUCUUUGGCCUCGCCCAAAGACUCGCCUUAAAACGAUUGGCAGCCGGCCUACUGGUUUCGCAGCGCAGCACAUUUUUGCGCUUGCAAUCAGCACAAGGACGGCAAUCCAUCAAGACUACAUUUUUACGUUUGACCUCGGAUCAGGUAGGGAUACCCGCUGAACUUAAGC